RNAcentral lists this long non-coding RNA (263 nucleotides) under Columba livia (rock pigeon). RNAcentral's name for it is "partial uncharacterized LOC106145750". The record is from RNAcentral. Lineage: Eukaryota; Metazoa; Chordata; Aves; Columbiformes; Columbidae.
GCCACCACAAAGCAGGAGUUGGCCACCAAUGGAUCGUCCAUAUGGGACUUAAGAGCUAUGGCUAAUAGUAACUGGGCAAACAUCACCUGGAGCCACAAUUACUCUGCAGGAACUGACUUUGUGGUUAAGUAUAUCACCAGUAACAAGACAGAGAAAUCUAUUCCCGUUAAAGCUCAGACCCCUUCCUCUGUGCAGCUGGCGGAUCUGACGCCGGGGAUGAUGUACAAGCUGUGGGUGUUCCCCAUAUGGUCUAGCCCCAGUGA